Molecule: long non-coding RNA, 3384 nt
Filed under: Callithrix jacchus (white-tufted-ear marmoset)
Lineage: Eukaryota; Metazoa; Chordata; Mammalia; Primates; Cebidae
Description: lncRNA (ENSCJAG00000086589.1)
Source: RNAcentral
AUCACAGGCUUAAAAGUGUCACCUUGUCACAUCCUCCACCUCCAAGCAAGGUUUAUUUCAGAGACUUCUGGAGUAGAUACUGUUUCACAGCCCGUUUCUCUCCACUGUGUUCAUAAUAUCAGGAAAUACCUAGUCAUCCAUCCAGAAGCUUCGGAUUCAUAUUUGACUCAUCUCUUCUCACCUUUGUGGCACUCAUGGAAGAGACCCUUCCAGAUCUUCCCUCAAGAGAAGUCUGUGGCAUGGGAUGCAGGUCUCAGUGAAGACAGAAGAAACAAAAGCGUCACUGUGGAUCCCAUCACAGCAUUGUCGAGAGACCUAUCACUGCCUGCCACCAGAGAGCCAAAGCUUCAUCUUGUCAAAAGCUCAAAAGCCCUGGGAUUUUCCAUUCUUCCUAUCUGUCAUUGUGAAGACACGCACACACUCAUUAGUAAGUUGCUUCUUACUUUUAAUGAGUUAAAAACUUAGAGCCUUUUGGUUAUGGAGAAUGAGCCUGAGCCCUGAGAUCAGUCAAGAGACUUGCUUGUCGGACUUUAUUAUAAAAUUAACUCAUUGUUUAUCCUGCAGAAAGUUAUGCUCUUUGAAACAGUGCACUCACCUAAAACACAGGGAUUAUAACACUCAUCCUAAAGAAUGGGUGAGGUGACUCAUGCCUGUAAUCUGGGCACUUUAAAAGGCUGGUGAGGGGGGACUGCUUGAUGCCAGGAGUUUGAGAACAGUCUGGGCAACAUAGCAGGACCCUCUCUGUACAACAAGUUAAAAAAUUUGCUGGGUGUGAUGGCAUACCUAUAGUCACACCUACUUGGGAGGCUGAGGCAGGAGGAUCACUUGAACCCAGGAUACCUCGAAUACAGUGAGCCAUGAUCAUACCUCUGCACUCAGCCUGAGUGACAGAGUGACACUGUUUCAAAAAUGAAAGAAAGCAGGGGGGCGGGGGGGGCGGGGAGAAAGAAAGAGGGAGGGAGGGAAGGAGAAGAAAGAGAAAAAGAACAAAAAGAAAGAAAGAUAAGAAAGAAAAAAAAUAAGAAAGCAAGCAAACAAUCUCUGCAUAGUCCAGGCACAGUGGUUCUUUCCUGUAAUCUCAGCACUUUGGGAAGCUGAGGUGGGUGGAUCACCUGAGGUCAGGAGUUCAAGAACAGGAUGGCCAAUAUGAUGAAACCCUGUCUCUACCAAAAAUACAAAAAAUUAGCCAGGCGCAGUGGCACGCACUUGUAAUCCCAGCUACUUGGGAGGCUGAAGCAGGCGAAUCGCUUGAACUCAGGUGGCAAAGGUUACAGUGAGCCAAGAUCGCACCACCAUACUCUAGCCUGGGUGACAGAGCAAGCCUCUGUCCAAAAAAAAAAAAAAAAAAAGAAAAAGAAAAAGAAAUGAAAAAGAAAUCACUGUAUAAAUGUAAAAAUAGAGCUGAUAUUUAAUCUGCUUAAUGUGGUGUAUUGUUUAUGUAGACCAAAAAGAGACAAAUAUUUAAUAUAACUUUAUUAAAUAGUAAAAGAAAAAAAAUUAUGUUAUGCUUAAGAAUCAGCAAGCCUGGACAGGUGCAGUGGCUCAUGCCUGUAAUCCCAGAACUUUGGAAGGCCAACACUGGCAGAUUGCUUGAGCUCAGGAGUUCAAGACCAGCCUGGGCAACAUGGUCAAACCUCCUCUCUAUAAAAAUACAAAAAUUAGUCAGGCAUGCUGGCAUGCACCUGUAGUCCCAGCUACUUGGGAAGCUGAGGUAGUAGAAUUGCUUGAGCCCAGGUGGUCAAGAUUGCAGUAGGCCAAGAUUGUGCCACUGUACUCCAGCCUGGGUGACAGAGCAAGACCUUGUCUCAAAAAAAAAAAAAAAAAAAUCAGUGAGCCUGUAGAUUAGAUUUGAGUUUUAGCAUACUGGUGGGUACACUUAAGACAAUAAGUUUUUGUCGAAUAAAGUCAUGUGAUGGGAUGCCAUUUGGUUAUCAGCUCAAAUUUUCUCUCUGCUUUAGUCUCUCUGAAAGUCAUCUUGUGAUAGAAAAAAGUGAUUAUAGCCCCUGCAGGGCAUUGGUAGCUGGAACUUUACUGUCCAGAAGGCAUACACCUGGAAUUAAAGCUCUGUGAAAGAAGCCAACAAGUCCAGACAUGUUUAAGGAGUUUAAUUGGGUGUGUUAGUCCAUUCUCACACUGCUAUAAAGAUUCUACCUGAGACUGCGUAAGUUUUGAAGAAAAGAGGUUUAGUUGACUCACAGUUCUAAAUAGCUGGGAGGUCUCAGGAAACUUGCAGUCAUGGCAGAAGGCCAAGGGGAAACAAGACACAUCUUCACAUGGUGGCAGGAGAGAGCGAGAGUGCAUGAAGUGGAAAAUGCCAUGCUUUUAAACCAUCAGAUCUCAUGAGAACUCACUCACUAUCACAAGAACAGCAAGGGGGAAAUCCACCCCAAUGAUCCAGUCAGCCCCCACCAGGCCCCUCCCCUGACACGUGGGGAUUAUAAUUUGACAAGAGAUUUGGGUGGAGAAACACAGCCAAAUCGUAUCACUUUGGUAUCAUUCUUCUUAAAGGUGUUGGAGAUAUAUAAUUAAAAACAAAAUCUCCUCUCAAUCCAAAUAACAUCUCCACAAAAAUGGAAGAAAAAGAAAACACUUUUUAUUAUUGAAUAAGCAUUCAACCAGAAUGUGAUGGACAUUGCAGGCAAUUUGCUAAAGGACUGCAAAGACAGAAAGAAAGCUCAUCCCCCUACCUAUAGUCAAGUGCACACAACCCAUUACAUACAUGUGUUCAAGAUAAACAAUCAUUAUUUCUCAAAUAAGAAAACUUGAUGGGACCUUUCGUCACAGAUGGUUUAUUGCAACUUUACCAUGGUAAUUGAGAAGACCACCUGUGUCAGCUAAUUGGCUUUAUCUGAAGAAAAAGCAAACUUUUCUUAUCUUUAGGACAAGAGGUAGUUUUGCAGAUUCGAAGGUGUCCACUGAAUUAGACCCUUACCCUCCUGUAGGAACUGGGGGUAGGGGAGAUAACUCCCUUGAUGUUUGCAUUUCUGAAAGAUGACUCCUAGGUCCUUGAGAAACAAGGACCUAGGAGUUUUUUCCUCAUCAAAAUGCUGGUGAAAGUCUUGGAAAGAACACACUUCAAAAAGAUGAAAAUGUACUUACAAGUUUCCUAAGGUAAAUGCUCUGAGAAAAAAAAGAGGGGUGGGGAAUCUUCUCCUUUAUUUUCAACAGGAAGAAUUAAACCUCUUAUGCUGAAUUUGUAAUUGCCCUUAUAAAAGCCAGUUUUUUCAGCAGAAAAAAAUACAUAUGAGAAAACAGAUGAAAAGUAUGACCACAUCUCACUCCCAACAGUGACCUGUGGGUGGCAGAAAACCUGAAUAAUGUCCCUCCCUCAUGGUUGGUUUUAGAGCCCAAGGGAAGUCCUGAGUACCUAUCUUUCCUGCAGCA